RNAcentral lists this ribosomal RNA (256 nucleotides) under uncultured bacterium. Its description in RNAcentral is "partial 16S ribosomal RNA". It matches the Rfam family "Bacterial small subunit ribosomal RNA", at positions 521 to 776 of the family's 1533-position model. The record is from RNAcentral.
UAAUACGAACUGUGCAAACGUUAUUCGGAAUCACUGGGCUUAAAGGGUGCGUAGGCGGCUUGCCAAGUAGGGUGUGAAAGCCCCCGGCUUAACCGGGGAAUUGCGCCCUAAACUGGCGAGCUGGAGUGAGAUAGGGGUGUGUGGAACUUCCGGUGGAGCGGUGAAAUGUGUUGAUAUCGGAAGGAACGCCGGUGGCGAAAGCGACACACUGGGUCUCAACUGACGCUGAGGCACGAAAGCCAGGGGAGCGAACGGG